CAUCAAGAGUUUGUAGGAGAAUCAUGAUGAUGAUCAGUUGCAAUGUGAACUACCAAAUAACCAUGAAGUACAAGCAGAUCCAAUUAAUGUGGAACAAAUAAAGGAGAAUCAUGAUGAUGAUGAGCUGCUAUGUAAACUACCAAAUAACCAUGAAGUACAACCAGAUUCAAAGCAUAUGGAACAA
This is a long non-coding RNA of Saccostrea cuccullata (small rock oyster), 184 nucleotides long. RefSeq lists it as uncharacterized. Lineage: Eukaryota; Metazoa; Mollusca; Bivalvia; Ostreida; Ostreidae. The transcript has 3 exons. The record is from RefSeq and is a predicted model, not a curated record.